CAGUCGCCGCGGGAAUACGUAGGGUGCAAGCGUUAAUCGGAAUUACUGGGCGUAAAGCGUGCGCAGGCGGUUUGUUAAGACAGAUGUGAAAUCCCCGGGCUCAACCUGGGAACUGCAUUUGUGACUGGCAAGCUAGAGUCUGGCAGAGGGGGGUGGAAUUCCGCGUGUAGCAGUGAAAUGCGUAGAUAUGCGGAGGAACACCGAUGGCGAAGGCAGCCCCCUGGGCCAACACUGACGCUCAUGCACGAAAGCGUGGGGAGCAAACAGGAUUAGAUACCCCAGUAGUCCCUGUCUCUUAUAC
RNAcentral lists this ribosomal RNA (301 nucleotides) under uncultured bacterium. RNAcentral describes it as "partial 16S ribosomal RNA". It matches the Rfam family "Bacterial small subunit ribosomal RNA", at positions 509 to 807 of the family's 1533-position model. The record is from RNAcentral.